UUCUAACUGCCUCAGUGGUAAAGAAUCUGCCUGCCAAGCAGGAGACUUGGGUUCAGUACCUGGGUUGGAAA
RNAcentral lists this transfer RNA (71 nucleotides) under Muntiacus reevesi (Reeves' muntjac). It matches the Rfam family "tRNA". Rfam says of the family: Transfer RNA (tRNA) molecules are approximately 80 nucleotides in length. Their secondary structure includes four short double-helical elements and three loops (D, anti-codon, and T loops). Lineage: Eukaryota; Metazoa; Chordata; Mammalia; Artiodactyla; Cervidae. The record is from Rfam by way of RNAcentral. RNAcentral also lists the same sequence under 6 other names.